RNAcentral lists this ribosomal RNA (680 nucleotides) under Salmonella enterica subsp. enterica serovar Mbandaka. Its description in RNAcentral is "bacterial SSU rRNA". It matches the Rfam family "Bacterial small subunit ribosomal RNA", at positions 865 to 1533 of the family's 1533-position model. Lineage: Bacteria; Pseudomonadati; Pseudomonadota; Gammaproteobacteria; Enterobacterales; Enterobacteriaceae. The record is from RNAcentral.
UAGACCGCCUGGGGAGUACGGCCGCAAGGUUAAAACUCAAAUGAAUUGACGGGGGCCCGCACAAGCGGUGGAGCAUGUGGUUUAAUUCGAUGCAACGCGAAGAACCUUACCUGGUCUUGACAUCCACGGAAGUAUUCAGAGAUGGAUUUGUGCCUUCGGGAACCGUGAGACAGGUGCUGCAUGGCUGUCGUCAGCUCGUGUUGUGAAAUGUUGGGUUAAGUCCCGCAACGAGCGCAACCCUUAUCCUUUGUUGCCAGCGAUUAGGUCGGGAACUCAAAGGAGACUGCCAGUGAUAAACUGGAGGAAGGUGGGGAUGACGUCAAGUCAUCAUGGCCCUUACGACCAGGGCUACACACGUGCUACAAUGGCGCAUACAAAGAGAAGCGACCUCGCGAGAGCAAGCGGACCUCAUAAAGUGCGUCGUAGUCCGGAUUGGAGUCUGCAACUCGACUCCAUGAAGUCGGAAUCGCUAGUAAUCGUGGAUCAGAAUGCCACGGUGAAUACGUUCCCGGGCCUUGUACACACCGCCCGUCACACCAUGGGAGUGGGUUGCAAAAGAAGUAGGUAGCUUAACCUUCGGGAGGGCGCUUACCACUUUGUGAUUCAUGACUGGGGUGAAGUCGUAACAAGGUAACCGUAGGGGAACCUGCGGUUGGAUCACCUCCUUACCUUAAAGAAGC